Molecule: long non-coding RNA, 661 nt
Organism: Canis lupus familiaris (dog)
Lineage: Eukaryota; Metazoa; Chordata; Mammalia; Carnivora; Canidae
Exons: 3
Source: RefSeq, a predicted model, not a curated record
GUUGGUGUGUGCAGCCAAGCGGAUGUGAGGAAAGACUAGAGGUCUGGGCUGGUCAGGAAAUGCUGAGUGGCGAGGCUGAAGUCCUGAAGAAGUUGUUAACAGUGGGAAACUAGACGGGUUCCAAGGACUGCCAGUCCUGAUGAGCGCAAAAGCAGAGUCUGUGAUUUUAUUGCUGUUUUCCUUCUUCUUGGAAGGGAGUGCACUACGACGGAAUCCCAGGGUUGAGAUCAAGAUGCUCUUCAAGGGUUUCUACAGAAAAUAAACACAGUGAUGAUAAUAAGCAUAAGGAGCCUAAGACCAGCCACGUGGAGGACAAAUGGCCAGUAAAACAGCAUUUACCGUCUGAGAGAGGACCAGCACAGAUAGAUCUGGAUAGAUCCAUCUGGCUGCUACGCACUUGAAGGCCCAAGACUGGAGCCCAGGAAAGAGGGAUGGAGCAUCAGUGGAAAGACUACACUCAUGGGAGGAGCUGACAGCUCACAGGGAGAGCCUGCAGGAAGUAAAGAAAAGCAGGCCUCUGGCUGAGCCCUGAAAGAUACUUUCUUUAAAAAUAUCUUCUGGGACGCCUGGGUGGCUCAAUGGUUGAGACUUUGGCUCAGGGCCUGAUCCCAGAUUCUGGGAUUGAGUCCUGCAACAGGCUCCCUGUGUAGAGCCUGCUUCU